GACUCUGCUGGGAUGGGUUCAAAGUAGAGAAAGUGCAAGAGGGAAGAGUUACCCGGGCUAGAGAGGACAGCGGGCCGCAGGUUUAGUCCUGGUUGUGGAGUGGGAUGCUGAGAUGGGUCUGGAGGGAUGCAGGAUGUUCUAGGCCGUUAGGAUGGUAAAUAGGGACCUCGCUCCGCGAGGGAUGCUGAACGGGGUCUGGAAGAAUGCAAGAUGUCCUGGUCCGGGCCAGGAAUGGUGUGAUGUGCAUGCUUUUAAUCCCAGCACUCAGGAGGCAGAGGCAAGUGGAUCUCUGUGAGUUCUUGGCCAACCUGGUCUAUAUGGUUACAUGGAUAGUGGGAUGUCAGAAGGGGAAUUGUAGUGAAUCACCCUUCUAUCCAAUCAACUGACAACACAGCAAUGAUCCCACAUCAUCCCAGCCCGAGAAAAACUCAGGGUUGGUGCCGGUGCUGAGCAGCUACUGGCCAGGAGCUGGAUGUCAGAUCCCUGGGAGGAUAUGAGAGGAUGUUUCCAGAAACACCGAACUAAAAAGGAACGUCCAACCCUGAAUGUGGAGGACAUCCUCCUCUGGGCUGGGCUCCCAGACUGAGUAAGAAGAAAAUAAGUUGAGCUCGCCCCCCCCCCCCCCAGCGCUGUAGAUACAGUGUGACCAGUUACCAGCCAACCCCCUGUUGCGGUGCCUUUUUCUUUUUCUUUUUUUUUCUUCCCUACCACUAUGAACUGUUCACUCUUAAGCUGAGAGCUAAAAUAAACUCUUCCUUUUGUCC
This 764-nucleotide long non-coding RNA is filed under the name Mus musculus (house mouse). RNAcentral describes it as "RIKEN cDNA 2010001A14 gene (2010001A14Rik)". The record is from RNAcentral. Lineage: Eukaryota; Metazoa; Chordata; Mammalia; Rodentia; Muridae.